AUUUUUUCUCCAACAA
RNAcentral lists this transfer RNA (16 nucleotides) under Tylos sp. clade F MM-2013. Its description in RNAcentral is "partial tRNA-Val". The record is from RNAcentral. Lineage: Eukaryota; Metazoa; Arthropoda; Malacostraca; Isopoda; Tylidae.